This 615-nucleotide ribosomal RNA is filed under the name Leuconostoc lactis. Its description in RNAcentral is "bacterial SSU rRNA". It matches the Rfam family "Bacterial small subunit ribosomal RNA", at positions 79 to 680 of the family's 1533-position model. Lineage: Bacteria; Bacillati; Bacillota; Bacilli; Lactobacillales; Lactobacillaceae. The record is from RNAcentral.
CUUGCACCUUUCAAGCGAGUGGCGAACGGGUGAGUAACACGUGGAUAACCUGCCUCAAGGCUGGGGAUAACAUUUGGAAACAGAUGCUAAUACCGAAUAAAACUUAGUAUCGCAUGAUACAAAGUUGAAAGGCGCUACGGCGUCACCUAGAGAUGGGUCCGCGGUGCAUUAGUUAGUUGGUGGGGUAAAGGCCUACCAAGACAAUGAUGCAUAGCCGAGUUGAGAGACUGAUCGGCCACAUUGGGACUGAGACACGGCCCAAACUCCUACGGGAGGCUGCAGUAGGGAAUCUUCCACAAUGGGCGAAAGCCUGAUGGAGCAACGCCGCGUGUGUGAUGAAGGCUUUAGGGUCGUAAAGCACUGUUGUAUGGGAAGAAAUGCUAGAAUAGGGAAUGAUUCUAGUUCGACGGUACCAUACCAGAAAGGGACGGCUAAAUACGUGCCAGCAGCCGCGGUAAUACGUAUGUCCCGAGCGUUAUCCGGAUUUAUUGGGCGUAAAGCGAGCGCAGACGGUUGAUUAAGUCUGAUGUGAAAGCCCGGAGCUCAACUCCGGAAUGGCAUUGGAAACUGGUUAACUUGAGUGUUGUAGAGGUAAGUGGAACUCCAUGGGUAAGC